Long non-coding RNA from Juglans microcarpa x Juglans regia, 1054 nucleotides. RefSeq lists it as uncharacterized. The record is from RefSeq and is a predicted model, not a curated record. The transcript is spliced from 7 exons. Lineage: Eukaryota; Viridiplantae; Streptophyta; Magnoliopsida; Fagales; Juglandaceae.
ACUAUUGUUUAGCUUAAAACGAAGAAUAGUGGCAACAUUGGUUUUGGCUUAAGGCUCAAUUGGUUAAAUCUAAGGUGCAUGUGCAUUAAGCCUUUGAUGAUGUUCUUCAAACACAUCUACUUGUUGAAUCAAGAAUGAAAGCGUGCAGAAAACAAGCUUAUUCAAAGGUCAAAAUUCCAUUUUGAAGAAAAGAAUUGUUAUCUACAGUGGGAAGAUAAUUGGUUUUGUUGCUCAUUGAGUUUCUUCUUUACAUGGAGCAACAUCUGCAUUUAUAAGCUGAGCUGCUUUUAACUUGCUACCUUCCUGGUUGCCAUCUUGCUUCUACUUUUAUCACAAGCUCUUCUUCUUUAGUUAAAUGUUGUUGGCUUCCCCUAGCCGAAGGAUCAUUGUUUUUUUUUUUUGUUAGUAGUGAUUGGUUGAUGACUUUGUGUUAAUGUUUAUGUUCACGUGUUAUGCUCUGCAGGUUGCUGUCAACACUGUAAUUCAAGAUGAGAAAGAUUUCCUUGAUCACAUUAUCAAAUCAACCAACGUGAAGUGCCUCACGGCACCGUCAGCACUGGAUGGCGAGUGUGGAUUCCUGGCAGCCAACUUGUAUGCUAAGAGUGUAUUUGGAGAGGAUGCGUUGGUGAAUGUGAGCAUAGAGAAACAGGCAGAUGGUAAGCUGAGUGGCUACAUCAGGAUAAGGAGCAAGACACGGGAUUGCUCUCAGUUUGGGGGAUAAGAUUACUCUCAAGCAGAAGGGUGGAAGUUGAUUUAUGUGACAUCAUUGUUUCUGUUCUGUGCCAUUACUGGUUCUUGCUCCCAAAGCACAAGGAUUAGGUGCUGCUCCUUUUUUUUUCUUCAUGUCAUUGGAUUCCCUUUGAGCUACACUUAUUACUCUAAGAGGCUGCUGCAACAAGAGCAGUAUUUCUUUGACUCUUCUUUGGCGUGUCUGGACAAGGUUUUUGCUCCAGAUACUCUAUUUUUUUGGGAAACAAAACUUCAAUUGUAGCUAUUUUUUAGUUCUAAGGAUUAUUCAUAAUAGGAUUAUUCAUAUUGUUGUACCAACCGUCGC